Small nuclear RNA from Bombyx mandarina (wild silkworm), 154 nucleotides. The record is from RefSeq and is a predicted model, not a curated record. NCBI's taxonomy places the organism in Eukaryota, Metazoa, Arthropoda, Insecta, Lepidoptera, Bombycidae.
AUACUUACCUGGCUUGGGUACACCGUGAUCAUGCAGGCGGUUCCCCAGGGCGAGGCUGCCCCAUUGCACUGCGGAGUGGUUGACCCUUGCGAUUAUUUUUAUUUCUAUCAAUAAAAAAAUCAUGAUAGAAAAUGUAUACUCGACUAAUUAUUUU